RNAcentral lists this transfer RNA (77 nucleotides) under Jannaschia sp. W003. RNAcentral's name for it is "tRNA-Arg". It matches the Rfam family "tRNA". From Rfam's summary of the family: Transfer RNA (tRNA) molecules are approximately 80 nucleotides in length. Their secondary structure includes four short double-helical elements and three loops (D, anti-codon, and T loops). The record is from RNAcentral. Lineage: Bacteria; Pseudomonadati; Pseudomonadota; Alphaproteobacteria; Rhodobacterales; Roseobacteraceae.
GCGCCCAUAGCUCAGCUGGAUAGAGCGCUGCCCUCCGAAGGCAGAGGUCAGAGGUUCGAAUCCUCUUGGGCGCGCCA